Molecule: ribosomal RNA, 253 nt
Filed under: uncultured bacterium
Lineage: Bacteria
Description: partial 16S ribosomal RNA
Rfam family: Bacterial small subunit ribosomal RNA
Source: RNAcentral
UACGGAGGGUGCAAGCGUUAAUCGGAAUUACUGGGCGUAAAGCGCACGCAGGUGGCUGAGUCAGUCGAUUGUGAAAGCCCUGGGCUUAACCUGGGAAUUGCAGUCGAUACUACUCAGCUAGAGUAUGGGAGAGGGCAGUGGAAUUCCCGGUGUAGCGGUGAAAUGCGUAGAGAUGUGGAGGAACACCGAUGGCGAAGGCAGCCCCCUGGGCUAACACUGACGCUCAUGCACGAAAGCGUGGGGAGCAAACAGG